AUGGCGUCGGCGGACAUGUUCCCCAACGUCUCCUUCUCCGACGUCAACGCCGCCGCCUCGCAGGAGGCCGCCGGGAAGGCCGUGUUCGGCCCGGACCCCGCCUCCGGGGCGGCGCGCCUCAGCCUCGUCAGGCCCGGCGCGGAGCAGGCGUUCCAGAUCGACCUCUCCGACGCGCAGAUAUUCAAGCUGGGGCCGAUGGAGUGGCUCUGCGUGAGCGGCGAGACCGAGGCCAAGGCUGGCGUGGAAGAGAGAAUGCUCGAGGCGUGGAAGGCUGGUUAUUGCAGGGUAGAUGAUAUCGAGAAAUUGUUUUCAAGAGCAAUUAAGGUUGUUCUUAGGACAGAAGCCGAGAGCAAAGCCUUCUCUCUAGCUUUUCAACGAUGGAAACAACAAACUAUUAGUGGAAAAGCUGGUGAAUCAUUGGAGAAUGGAUCAAUAGUGGCUUGCAAAAGUAAAUUUGAUACAAAAAUUGAGGCAUCAUCAGCACAGAUGUAUUUCCACUACUAUGGCCAGCUAUUACAUCAGCAAAACAUGUUGCAAGAUUUUGUGAGGACAGGAACAUACUAUGCUGCUGUAAUGGAAAACCGGGCCGACUUCGAGGGUAAAGUUGUGGUUGACGUUGGAGCUGGUAGCGGUAUUCUUUCGUUAUUUGCUGCACAGGCUGGUGCCAAACAUGUCUAUGCAGUUGAGGCAUCUGAAAUGGUUGAACAUGCCCAACGGCUUAUUUCUGGGAACCCAUCGUUUGGGCAACGAAUCACGAUCAUCAAAGGCAAAGUCGAGGAAGUUGAACUUCCAGAAAAAGCUGAUAUACUGAUUUCUGAGCCUAUGGGAACCCUUUUGGUGAAUGAAAGAAUGCUGGAGUCCUAUGUCAUAGCUAGGGACAGAUUCCUUGCUCCAGAUGGUAAAAUGUUUCCAACAACUGGAAGGAUUCAUAUGGCUCCAUUUUCCGAUGAAUACCUCUAUGUUGAAAUGGCAAACAAGUCUCUCUUCUGGCAGCAGCAUAACUUCUUUGGUGUUGAUCUUACACCCUUGCAUGGCUCAGCGUUUGACGGAUACUUUUCACAGCCCGUGGUGGAUGCAUUUGAUCCAAGAUUGUUGAUUUCUCAAUCUACGUAUCAUACACUUGAUUUCACUAGCAUGAAGGAAGAGGACCUUUACGAGAUUGAUAUUCCCCUGAGUUUUGUAUCCUCUGUUGGCACUAGGGUGCAUGGGCUAGCCUGUUGGUUUGAUGUGCUGUUCAACGGGAGCACUGUGCAAAGAUGGCUUACCACUGCUCCUGGCUCCCCUACGACUCACUGGUACCAGUUGCGAUGUGUACUUGCACAGCCAUUAUAUGUCAUGGCUGGCCAAGAAAUAACCGGCCGCCUGCAUUUGGUGGCCCACAGUGCGCAAAGCUACACAAUAUACUUAACUAUGUCAGCCAAAAUGUGGGGUGUGGGUGCGGACCCAGGCGGCAUCCUUCAGACAUCCACUGCCAAGCUCGAACUCAAGGAGCCUUACUACAGGCUGUCUCAACCACAAGCUUAUAUGCCACAAGACCAACAGCAGCUACCGUUGUCAUCUUUGCAGGCGCAAGGAUCUGGGCAGCAGAUGCAAGAUGGUCUCAGCCCUGGCAUCACUGUAGAUCAGGAGAGGGACUCCGCAGCGUUCACUCGACAGGUCUGA
Molecule: ribosomal RNA, 1662 nt
Filed under: Triticum aestivum (bread wheat)
Lineage: Eukaryota; Viridiplantae; Streptophyta; Magnoliopsida; Poales; Poaceae
Description: partial small subunit ribosomal RNA
Source: RNAcentral